GGAUUGUGGCUCAGUGGCAGAGCACUUGCCUAGCAUGUGUGAGGCACUGGGUUCGAUUCUCAGCACCA
RNAcentral lists this transfer RNA (68 nucleotides) under Marmota monax (woodchuck). RNAcentral's name for it is "tRNA.Ala". The stretch from base 5 to 65 matches the Rfam family "tRNA", at positions 6 to 65 of the family's 71-position model. Rfam says of the family: Transfer RNA (tRNA) molecules are approximately 80 nucleotides in length. Their secondary structure includes four short double-helical elements and three loops (D, anti-codon, and T loops). Further hydrogen bonds mediate the characteristic L-shaped molecular structure. tRNAs have two regions of fundamental functional importance: the anti-codon, which is responsible for specific mRNA codon recognition, and the 3' end, to which the tRNAs corresponding amino acid is attached (by aminoacyl-tRNA synthetases). tRNAs cope with the degeneracy of the genetic code in two manners: having more than one tRNA (with a specific anti-codon) for a particular amino acid; and 'wobble' base-pairing, i.e. permitting non-standard base-pairing at the 3rd anti-codon position. The record is from RNAcentral. Lineage: Eukaryota; Metazoa; Chordata; Mammalia; Rodentia; Sciuridae.